RNAcentral lists this long non-coding RNA (746 nucleotides) under Equus caballus (horse). RNAcentral describes it as "lncRNA (ENSECAG00000028136.2)". The record is from RNAcentral. Lineage: Eukaryota; Metazoa; Chordata; Mammalia; Perissodactyla; Equidae.
GGCAAAGAAAAAUAAAUAACGUAGAUAUUCAUGGAAAGUCCAUAACCCAGGACCGAUGAGUAACUUGAAAAUGCAGGCAAGAGUCUACUGCCCUUUUAUCGUUUUUGCCUCUUGUUUCUAUUGCCUUUUAUUGCCUCUAUUGAUGGCAAUAGAAGCUGUGAACAUGGUAAGGAAAAAAGAGACUGCUAAAACGGACCUGGCACUGAGUCUUGUCACACAGCAUUGCAGGUCAAUGAGAACACAAGCCGAAUUUGACUUGACCUUUUUAAAAUCUUCACUGUAACCUUGAUCACCCUCUUAACUGAAUUAUGGAUCUCAGGGAGGUUUGUUGUAAGAAACGGAGGACUGAAAAAGUCUAUGAAGUAAGGGGCGGCCCCGUGGCUGAGUGGUUAAGUUCGUGUGCUCCACUGCGGCUGCCCAGGGUUUCGCCAGUUCGGAUCCUGGGCGUGGACAUGGCACCGCUCAAUAGGCCACACUGAGGCGGCAUCCCACAUGCCACAACUAGAAGGACCUGCAACUAGGAUAUACAACUAUGUACAGGGGCGAUUUGGGGAGAAAAAGCAGAAAAAAAAAAAAAAGAUUGGCAACAGUUGUUAGCUUGGAUGCCAAUCUUUAAAAAAAAGAAAAACAAAUCUAUGAAGUCAUCCAAAUUUUCACAAAAUUCUCCUUGAGAAUGCCUGUAAAUCCCCCCAAAGAAGUCUUUGAAUUCCAUAGGAACAAGAUAUAGCCAAUAUGACUCACGGCAG